CGGGCUGUAGUAUAAUGGUAUUAUACAUGGCUGGGGGUCAUGCGACCCGGGUUCAAUUCCCGGCAGCCCGA
RNAcentral lists this transfer RNA (71 nucleotides) under Candidatus Yanofskybacteria bacterium CG10_big_fil_rev_8_21_14_0_10_36_16. Its description in RNAcentral is "tRNA-Pro". It matches the Rfam family "tRNA". From Rfam's summary of the family: Transfer RNA (tRNA) molecules are approximately 80 nucleotides in length. Their secondary structure includes four short double-helical elements and three loops (D, anti-codon, and T loops). Further hydrogen bonds mediate the characteristic L-shaped molecular structure. tRNAs have two regions of fundamental functional importance: the anti-codon, which is responsible for specific mRNA codon recognition, and the 3' end, to which the tRNAs corresponding amino acid is attached (by aminoacyl-tRNA synthetases). tRNAs cope with the degeneracy of the genetic code in two manners: having more than one tRNA (with a specific anti-codon) for a particular amino acid; and 'wobble' base-pairing, i.e. permitting non-standard base-pairing at the 3rd anti-codon position. The record is from RNAcentral. Lineage: Bacteria; Candidatus Yanofskyibacteriota.